GGGUACACUAAUGGUCCGGGCUUCUUUGCUCCAUACCGGUCAGUCCGGUACCAUUUGAAAGAAUGGGCGGCUAAUGGAAAUAACCCACAAACUCCAAGAGAGUUAUAUAAUCUGCGACAUGCAUCAGCUAGGAAUGUGAUAGAGAGAACUUUUGGUCUACUAAAAAUGAGAUGGGCUAUUUUGGGGACUAGUUCAUUUUUUCGCAUACGGAAUCAGAUCCGUGUCAUUAAUGCUUGCUGCAUAUUGCAUAACUUUCUAAGAGAUAGGCAGAGAGAGAUGGAUGAUAUAAUGCUAAUUGACGUGGAUAAUCAGUUAAAUGCUGCUGCCAUCGAACAUCCUGAAGAACCAAACAUGAUUAGACAUGUUGAAUCAACAACUGAGUGGAACAACAAGCGAGAUACCUUAGCUAAUCAAAUGUGGGCAGAUUACCAAAGGAGACGCGGGGGAGCCAAUCAUUGA
This 459-nucleotide ribosomal RNA is filed under the name Triticum aestivum (bread wheat). Its description in RNAcentral is "partial small subunit ribosomal RNA". The record is from RNAcentral. Lineage: Eukaryota; Viridiplantae; Streptophyta; Magnoliopsida; Poales; Poaceae.